This 260-nucleotide ribosomal RNA is filed under the name uncultured bacterium. Its description in RNAcentral is "partial 16S ribosomal RNA". It matches the Rfam family "Bacterial small subunit ribosomal RNA", at positions 793 to 1055 of the family's 1533-position model. The record is from RNAcentral.
GUCCACGCAGUAAACGAUGAAUACUAACUGUUUGCGAUACAAUGUAAGCGGUACAGCGAAAGCGUUAAGUAUUCCACCUGGGGAGUACGCCGGCAACGGUGAAACUCAAAGGAAUUGACGGGGGCCCGCACAAGCGGAGGAACAUGUGGUUUAAUUCGAUUAUACGCGAGGAACCUUACCCGGGCUCAAACGCAGGGGGGAAUAUAUAUGAAAGUAUAUAGCUAGCAAUAGUCACCUGCGAGGUGCUGCAUGGUUGUCGU